This is an RNA transcript of Bradysia coprophila, 591 nucleotides long. It is a transcript of the gene named transmembrane protein 229B-like, with no coding region annotated. The record is from RefSeq and is a predicted model, not a curated record. NCBI's taxonomy places the organism in Eukaryota, Metazoa, Arthropoda, Insecta, Diptera, Sciaridae.
CAUUCAUUCCAUUUUUAGUUAUUAAUUAGAAUAUUCGUGUGAAUAAAAUUGAAAUGAAGUCGGGUCGAGAUUCAACCAAAUCCAAAUCGACAAAUAACCAAAAAUUGUCACCUUUCGUACGAUUCAUUCUGUACGGUUUGCUUGGUAUUACGUUCGAGGUGUAUUUUUAUGCAAUGCUGGAUACUUUGCUUAAAGGGGAACUGGAUCUUGUCGGUCGUACAAAUGUCUUGAUACUGCCCAUUUAUGGACUUGGUUUUCUACUGAUGGAACGCAUUGCACCGUACUUGCAACACAAAAAUGUUUCGGUUUACAUGCGUGGUCUAAUAUACACUGUGAUGGGUUACACAUUCGAAUUUACGACCGGAUAUUUCCUGUUGAUGAUUGGUCAGGACUAUUGGGAUUACUCUGAUUUCGCAUACAACUUGAAAGGACUUAUAAUGCCACACACAGGACUACUGUGGACUUUGCUCGGAUUAAUUGCGGAAUCUUUUAUUAUCGAUUGGGUUAAACGAUUGACAUUGUCAUCAAAAUGAAAAUUCUAAUGUCCCGAAUCGAAUAACUGAAAAUAUUACUAAUUUGAGGAAGGGUAAA